UACGGGGGGUGCAAGCGUUGUUCGGAAUUAUUGGGCGUAAAGAGCGUGUAGGCGGCUGAAUAAGUCAGAUGUGAAAUCCCUGGGCUUAACCCAGGAAGUGCAUUUGAAACUAUUCAGCUUGAGUAGGGGAGAGGAAAGUGGAAUUCCUGGUGUAGAGGUGAAAUUCGUAGAUAUCAGGAGGAACACCGGUGGCGAAGGCGACUUUCUGGCCCUAUACUGACGCUGAGACGCGAGAGCGUGGGUAGCAAACAGGAUUAGAUACCCUAGUAGU
Molecule: ribosomal RNA, 271 nt
Filed under: uncultured bacterium
Lineage: Bacteria
Description: partial 16S ribosomal RNA
Rfam family: Bacterial small subunit ribosomal RNA
Source: RNAcentral